AGGCCAUGGUGUGGGCACUUUCUCAACAACUCUUUCAUUCUCUCCCAAGACUCGUGAAUUUGUUCACCCGAUGUUUGGGUGAAUCCAGUGAUGGCUCUUCUCAUGGU
Molecule: non-coding RNA, 107 nt
Organism: Nelumbo nucifera (sacred lotus)
Lineage: Eukaryota; Viridiplantae; Streptophyta; Magnoliopsida; Proteales; Nelumbonaceae
Source: Rfam